This is a non-coding RNA of Heteronotia binoei (common prickly gecko), 64 nucleotides long. The record is from the annotation of a RefSeq genome assembly. NCBI's taxonomy places the organism in Eukaryota, Metazoa, Chordata, Lepidosauria, Squamata, Gekkonidae.
CCCUAAGCAGCUCUACGAGCACUGACCUUUUAAGCCAGAGGAGGGAUCACAAACCCCUUAGGGC